UCGUCGAGGCUUUCGUUUCUGUAGUGAAACCCUCCCAAAGAAAGGACAGCCGCUCUCCUCUUCUCUUCACAGUUGUAGUCACAACGAACCAGAAGUUGAUUUGCUGGUAUAAAAGGUUCCCGUCGCUCGUGCUGCUUCUUUGUGCCUUUUCUUUUAGCUUCUGAUAAGUCUUCGGAAUCUAAUUCUCUGUUUCUUUUCUUGCUACCACUUGACAUCGAGCUCGGCGGGUUUAUCUAGUUAUCAUCGGGCAACAAUGUUGGUCUGUUCACACCAUAUCGUGCUUCAAAUGUUUCACUCUGCUUCCCUCCAAAACCCCCUUUUCCCCUCAAAUUUCAAAUUAAUGGUUCAUCCAGAUUUUAGGUAUCAAGAAUCUUACUGAUGGAACGAAUAACUUGAAUGCUUAAGCAGUACAACUUUCUUAGUCUAACCGCUCCCUUGAAUGCUCUGCUUCUCAUCGUUUCUGGUUGUUGUUGGGGAUUUGAUGAUUCACAGAAGUAAAAGGUUUGCUAGUCUCCAUCAAGGUCUCAAUCUGUCGAAGGACCCCAUACAAAAAUCCCAGUUGCUGGUAGGAGACAAUUCUACUAAAAUGUUGCCGAAAACAGUAAUCGUUGCUCAUAUUGAAAAUUUCUACUUUGAAGUUUAUAAGCACUUGUACGAUCAUCAGAAGAAAAUUCCAUAAGAAUCAACAUGUAUGUACCAAAUGACAACACGAGGAAUGCUUCAUGGAUUUGGUCUAUUAACCCCAUGAUAAUAACCUGAAACCGAUUUGAGUGAGCUUAAGGCAGUGAUACCACCGCCACCGAAGAUCAUCGUGUACUCGAAAUGCCC
This is a long non-coding RNA of Hibiscus syriacus, 828 nucleotides long. RefSeq lists it as uncharacterized. The record is from RefSeq and is a predicted model, not a curated record. The transcript is spliced from 5 exons. Lineage: Eukaryota; Viridiplantae; Streptophyta; Magnoliopsida; Malvales; Malvaceae.